This 307-nucleotide ribosomal RNA is filed under the name uncultured bacterium. RNAcentral describes it as "bacterial SSU rRNA". It matches the Rfam family "Bacterial small subunit ribosomal RNA", at positions 9 to 323 of the family's 1533-position model. The record is from RNAcentral.
GAGUUUGAUCAUGGCUCAGAUUGAACGCUGGCGGCAGGCCUAAGACAUGCAAGGCGAGCGAGAAAGCACUUCGGUGUGAGUAGAGCGGCGGACGGGUGAGUAACGCGUAGGAAUCUACCUAGUAGUGGGGGAUAACAUGUGGAAACGCAUGCUAAUACCGCAUACGCCCUACGGGGGAAAGAGGGGGACAUUUGCCUCUUGCUAUUAGAUGAGCCUGCGUAAGAUUAGCUAGUUGGUGGGGUAAGGGCCUACCAAGGCGACGAUCUUUAGCUGGUCUGAGAGGAUGAUCAUCCACACUGGGACUGAG